This 253-nucleotide ribosomal RNA is filed under the name uncultured bacterium. RNAcentral's name for it is "partial 16S ribosomal RNA". It matches the Rfam family "Archaeal small subunit ribosomal RNA", at positions 474 to 727 of the family's 1478-position model. The record is from RNAcentral.
UACCCGCAGCACAAGUGGUGGUCAUUAUUAUUGGGCCUAAAGCGUCCGUAGCUGGCGUGUUAGAUGCCUGGGUAAAUCGAUGCGCUCAACGUAUCGAAUUCCGGGUAGACCGGCACGCUCGAGACCGGGAGAGGUGUAGGCUACUCGCGGGGUAGGGGUAAAAUCCUGUAAUCCUGUGGGGAGGACCAGUGGCGAAGGCGCUACACUAGAACGGCUCUGACAGUGAGGGACGAAGCCCUGGGGCGCAAACCGG